GAUGAACGCUGGCGGCGUGCCUAAUACAUGCAAGUCGAGCGAACAGAUGAGGAGCUUGCUCCUCUGACGUUAGCGGCGGACGGGUGAGUAACACGUGGAUAACCUACCUAUAAGACUGGGAUAACUUCGGGAAACCGGAGCUAAUACCGGAUAAUAUAUUGAACCGCAUGGUUCAAUAGUGAAAGACGGUUUUGCUGUCCCUUAUAGAUAGAUCCGCGCCGCAUUAGCUAGUUGGUAAGGUAACGGCUUACCAAGGCAACGAUGCGUAGCCGACCUGAGAGGGGGAUCGGCCACACUGGAACUGAGACACGGUCCAGACUCCUACGGGAGGCAGCAGAAGGGAAUCUUCCGCAAUGGGCGAAAGCCUGACGGAGCAACGCCGCGUGAGUGAUGAAGGUCUUCGGAUCGUAAAACUCUGUUAUUAGGGAAGAACAAAUGUGUAAGUAACUAUGCACGUCUUGACGGUACCUAAUCAGAAAGCCACGGCUAACUACGUG
RNAcentral lists this ribosomal RNA (497 nucleotides) under uncultured bacterium. Its description in RNAcentral is "partial 16S ribosomal RNA". It matches the Rfam family "Bacterial small subunit ribosomal RNA", at positions 28 to 507 of the family's 1533-position model. The record is from RNAcentral.